GUGGGGAAUAUUGGACAAUGGGCGCAAGCCUGAUCCAGCCAUGCCGCGUGAGUGAUGAAGGCCUUAGGGUUGUAAAGCUCUUUCGCCGACGAAGAUAAUGACGGUAGUCGGAGAAGAAGCCCCGGCUAACUUCGUGCCAGCAGCCGCGGUAAUACGAAGGGGGCUAGCGUUGUUCGGAAUCACUGGGCGUAAAGCGCACGUAGGCGGACAUUUAAGUCAGGGGUGAAAGCCUGGAGCUCAACUCCAGAACUGCCCUUGAUACUGGGUGUAUCGAGUCCGUAAGAGGUAAGUGGAACUGCGAGUGUAGAGGUGAAAUUCGUAGAUAUUCGCAAGAACACCAGUGGCGAAGGCGGCUGACUGGUCCAUUACUGACGCUGAGGUGCGAAAGCGUGGGGAGCAAACAGGAUUAGAAACCCGAGUAGUCC
RNAcentral lists this ribosomal RNA (425 nucleotides) under uncultured bacterium. RNAcentral's name for it is "partial 16S ribosomal RNA". It matches the Rfam family "Bacterial small subunit ribosomal RNA", at positions 354 to 796 of the family's 1533-position model. The record is from RNAcentral.